This is a long non-coding RNA of Onychostoma macrolepis, 2203 nucleotides long. RefSeq lists it as uncharacterized. NCBI's taxonomy places the organism in Eukaryota, Metazoa, Chordata, Actinopteri, Cypriniformes, Cyprinidae. The record is from RefSeq and is a predicted model, not a curated record. The transcript is spliced from 6 exons.
UGUGCGGUUGAUAAUGGGCCAGGGGUGGAUCUGGGCACGACAAGAGCCAGUGAACCUCAGGAUGGGCUUCCCAAGGUGUGGUUGAGAAAAAGAAUGGCAAAAAUAUGGAGCAUGGAAAUUAUGUAGUGAAUAGUUGUCUCAAACACUGUUGUAUUCCAAACGGUUAUCACUGGCUAUACAGCAUACAGCUAAAAUGCCAAGCUUCACUAGGUAAAGUCCAAGAACUUUGUCAACCCCACCCCAAUGAAAAAUAGAUGAAGGCUUAAAAUUUUGAUGAGGCCCCAAACCACAACUUGUCAAUCCUGAACAAGUGCCAGAUUUGAAAUCUGUAAAUGAAGAUCUUUCUCUGAGGAUAGUGCCAGUCUUUUGGUUGGUACAACAAGAUCUCCCUCAAGAGCUGACCUUAUUUGGAUCAAGCAUUACAUCAGCUCUCUAUUCCUUCCAAGUCACUGUAGUUAAGCCAUGGAGAGUCAACAUGUGACAGCUUCCAUCCAGUCGGAGGAGAUCAAAUGUGUUUGAUAAUAAUGUGUUUUGUGAUUAAUUGGCGGCCGAUGAGCAUGUCGCACUAAACAAAGAUUGCCAAUUUUGGCCUACGAUGAAAUUGUCAAAAUGGUCUCCAAUGGCAAAACCAUGACCAAAAUUGCACAGUGUCGGCCAGAAAAUACAAUAUUUCUUCAGUGUUGUGAAGCCCGGUGCAAAGGCCACAAAGUACAUUCAGACAAAUCCUCAAUUGUCAGGGUACGUGUGAACUGUUGUUUCAGAGCGGACGACAGCCAGUUGACCCCUGGACAAAGAAGUGCACUGUCCGGAGCAUGGUGCUCUGAUCUUAAGCAGUACAGAUGAACAGAAGGUCUUCUGACUUCCUCAAGUGGCCAAUCUUCUUUAUUAAGACCUCAGGGUUCCUUUCAAGUCUUCAGAUAUUCUCAGAGAGAGUAGAGUGAACACCAGUGGGCCACUGAACCCCAUGUGAAGAGGACCUGUUUCAAGAAAAGGUCAUGUAAAGGAAUGUGGCCCCUUGUGGGGUCAGAGUUUAAAAGUCGGGGGUCAGCCUUCGUUCUUUUAAUGGUGCCGUCCACUGUUCUAAGAGCAGAGCAGAACUAAAAACAACCCAACACGUUCUUUCUCUUUGUCUUCUGUUGCCCAGUGGAACCAAAACAAGAGACUGUAGUUUAAAUUAAGAAACAGUGUUCCUCAAGCUUUUGAAAUCUGUGGAGAACCACUAAUUUAGAGCACAGUUGUCUUUGUUAGUGCCACUCUAUCAAAUCUUUCAUACUGUAUUCUAUAUGCAUGCACGUUCUUGCUCUCCCUUUAUCACUUCAGAGCAGGUGGCUUUGUGGAACUGCAGACUAAUUAGAAUUAUGUAAAUGAAAUAAUCCACUGAGUCAAAUUCUCAGCCACUAACUACUAAUCACUAUGAUUCUUAUGCAAUUAUGUAUUUUGCUACAGGUAAAUGACAUAGCAGGCAAGGGAACAUGAAGGUUUGAAUGUAAUGAUUUUAAUGUUUUUUGAUGUGAUCUGUUUCAGUUUUGUUUUUAUGUUUUGGAUCAUUUUAAUGUUAUAUUUGUGUGCACAUUUAUUGGCAGUUUGAGUGUAAAAAAAUCUGCCAUGGCAAUAAAGCACACUAAAAUUGUUAAAAGUUUUUGCAGACAUAUUAAUAUUCUGUGAAGUUCCAAAGUCUGUAUUUUCAGCUUAAAAAUACUGACCACUAUGCCGCAGCUUUUUGUUACUGCUAAUGAGACUGGAAUCUCUCCUGCUGUUUAAUGGGGCUAGAAAAAUACCAUACUUGUGCACGUUCCUCGGCCUAACCCUGGCCACAUACUAAAUUACAGCUUGGGCUGGUGUGCACAUGUGUAUGGACUUAGAAAAAUGAUAAACUAGCACAAUAACACAUUAACUCAGCACCACUAAAGAAGAGCACAACAUAUGCAAGAUAUGUAAAUAUACCACUUAUUUCCAAUGUAUGCAGUGCUGAUACAUUAUUGCGAACUAUCAGCCAUGUUUCAACGGUCAUGAAAUUUUCAUAUGAAACAGUCGAAAUGCAAAGCGUGUAGCUCGUCUAUUCCAGUUUCUGUGCUCUGCAGGCAUCGGCAGCAGCAGGAGGAGAAACUGCGGGCUGUGGUGAUGCUCCUUUCAUCUCCUCUGGCUGUGGAUCAAGCAGUGUGUGCUGCCCCCACCCGCACUCACUCCUCCUCUUCCCCCUUCC